This 73-nucleotide transfer RNA is filed under the name Pseudomonas sp. MYb60. RNAcentral's name for it is "tRNA-Ser". The record is from RNAcentral. Lineage: Bacteria; Pseudomonadati; Pseudomonadota; Gammaproteobacteria; Pseudomonadales; Pseudomonadaceae.
AGAUGCUUGAGUCCGUUUCGUGGUCACCUUGACAUGGUGGGGGUCGUUGGUUCGAGUCCAAUCGCGCCUACCA